UAACCGUCCUGGGCCACAUGCAGCCCAAGGGCUGGACACCCCUGGUAGACAUAGGUCACAUCACAUCAACAGUGCUGAGAUGAGAACACAUUCCAACAGGGUAGCCAGGAUGAGGGUUGAUCUAAAAACCAUGUCACUAGUGUCAAAGAAGCUGAAAGCAUUUUGUCCGAAAAUGAGCCAGGUAAUGUAUGACAGCUUCAAAGUAUCUGAAGUAUUGUUAUUGUGAUGCGAUGCCAAAUUGCAUAGUUCUAGAGGUAAGAAUUCAGAUCAAUGAACAAUAACAACAAGGAAGAUAAAACCUGGUUCAGUGUAAGGCAGUACUUUUAUCUAGCAUUAUUUUUUCUGAAGAUGGACAAGGUGGCUGUUCACAUGGGGCAGGGAUGAACAUCCCAGCUAAGCUGAACACCUGCUGGUUCUGUGCACUUUAUGUGAAGUCAGCUGUAACAACAUGCCUGCAAUGUAGUUUUUAAUUGCAAUUUCACAGAUAAAAAUCACAUGGCUAAGAAGUGGAGAAAACUGGAUUCUAAUCCAGUCCAUCUGUCUCCAAAGCUGGCUCUUCCUACACUUCACACACCUAAGAGAAGUUAAAUUAGCAGUUGUUAAAGUAGCAUAUGGGACUUCUGAGUUGGUGAAAACUGAGUAUCAUCUGAUUUGAAGUCCCUUUCAAAAUUAAGAUGCCAGAAAUGAAAAGUACUACUUCCUUCAUUUGUAGGAGCACUUCCUACUUUAAGAAUGCUUUCAUAUCUAUUCUCACAAAAAUGGUUUAAGGUAAAUAAGCUCUUGGCAUUCUACCUCAGAGAGGAAGAGGACAACAAAGGUGGAUUUCUUCAACUUCCUUCUGGUUUAUCUCCAAACAUAUUUGUUUAUUUUCAACUCCCCAGGUCUUUCAUUCAUUCAGCGCUCAUUUUAUUAAGCAAGUUUUAACAUGCCAGCUACCAAAUCUCAAUGACUUACAGUCUGAUGAGAAGAGCCUGUAGUCAUAGAGGAAAAAGUUUAUUUAGAAAUAUUUCUAUCUUCUUACAGAUCUUACUUUAUACAUUCUAAUUCCUUUCUCAUAUCACUUUCAUUUAUCCCUCACUGCUGUCUCUGCUCCUUCUUCUUGGCUAUAGAAAACUUCUCUUCCUCCCUAACAAGCUACUAAUCCAUUUGGUAUAUGUUUCACCUUCCUGCAUGCAAUCUGACUUCCAUACUCACCACUCGAAUUGAAAUUACUCUAAGGUCACCAAUAAUUAUCUACUGCAAAAUCUUUGUUUUUCUCAACUACUCUACAAUGCUGGAUACCAAUGGUCUUUAUUAAACUCUCUUCUUGCUACCUCCAUAAAAAUUUCACCUAUUUUUCCCAACCUUUUGGGGCCCCUUUCAGUUAGCUUUCCUUCCACCACCUGUACUUUAAUGCUGGCUCUUUCAGCUCAUGCUUUUUCCUCCUGGCCUACCACCUCUUCCUAGACAAUCUCAUCUAUUUCUGUAAUACCAGCCAUUACCUACAUGAGUCUUCAUUUCUACUCCUAACUCCCCAACUCAAUUUCCAAAUGCUCAGUGGGCCAUUUUACCUGCAUAUUCCACAUUAUCUCAGAUUCAGCAUAUCAAAAUUCAAUUUAUCACCCUUAGGUCCCUCCCUCAAAGUGUUGUUUUUCUGAAAGUCUUAGGUUGGUUAAUAGUAAUGGCACCACCAAUACACAGUAACCCAGAAUAUAAAAAUAAUUAUUUCUGAAAGCCUUACCUUACUUCAUCUCCCAUUUUUAAUUUUUAGUCACCCUGUUCCAGGCAUUUUACCAAAAAUCUUCCAGAAAACUCUCUUCCCUCACAGUGACCUAGUUCAGACCCACUUCAGUCCUCACAUGAGUUAUCAAAAUCACUUCCUAACUGGUCUCUCAACUCUUGGUUCUCCUUUCUCUACCCAUCCAUCCAUCCUUGUAGCAGAUAUAGUUUUUUUACAAGAAUCUCUUCCUUCAUGGAGUACACCUGAUCCAGACAUAUAUAAGAGACUUGGGACUGGCUGGAGUACUACCUACCUACUCCUAGCGACAUGUCUAGUUCAGGGAAGAACAUAUGAUCAAAACCUUCCUCAGGACUUUACUUCCUUGCCAAGGACUUUACUUUCUUGCCAAAGAAAAGACACUCUCUUUUCUUUUGGGAUUUUAAGCAAGGCCAAUAUAAGCUAAACUGCCUAUAGCAGGGAAGAAGGGGCAAAGUUUAAAAAGGGUAGGAUGCGAUGGAGAAUCUACUGUCACCAAGUUCUGGAUCUAGCUCUGCCUGACCAUUCCUAUCACCUAGCCAAUAAA
Molecule: long non-coding RNA, 2282 nt
Organism: Phyllostomus discolor (pale spear-nosed bat)
Lineage: Eukaryota; Metazoa; Chordata; Mammalia; Chiroptera; Phyllostomidae
Exons: 2
Source: RefSeq, a predicted model, not a curated record